UACGGAGGGUGCAAGCGUUAAUCGGAAUUACUGGGCGUAAAGCGUGCGCAGGUGGUUUUGUAAGUCUGUCGUGAAAGCCCCGGGCUCAACCUGGGAAUUGCGAUGGAGACUGCAAGGCUUGAAUCUGGCAGAGGGGGGUAGAAUUCCACGUGUAGCAGUGAAAUGCGUAGAGAUGUGGAGGAACACCGAUGGCGAAGGCAGCCCCCUGGGUCAAGAUUGACGCUCAUGCACGAAAGCGUGGGGAGCAAACAGG
RNAcentral lists this ribosomal RNA (253 nucleotides) under uncultured bacterium. Its description in RNAcentral is "partial 16S ribosomal RNA". It matches the Rfam family "Bacterial small subunit ribosomal RNA", at positions 524 to 776 of the family's 1533-position model. The record is from RNAcentral.